This is a transfer RNA of 83 nucleotides. It matches the Rfam family "tRNA". Rfam says of the family: Transfer RNA (tRNA) molecules are approximately 80 nucleotides in length. The record is from Rfam.
GGUGCAAUAGUCUAGUUGGUUACAGUGUCUUCUGAGAUUUCCUUGUUUCAUGGAUAAUGGGGGUUCAAAUCCUCUUUGUAUCA